GACGAACCGUACGAACGUUAUUCGGAAUCUCUGGGCUUAAAGGGUGCGUAGGCUGCGCGGAAAGUUGGGUGUGAAAUCCCUCGGCUCAACCGAGGAACUGCGCCCAAAACUGCCGUGCUCGAGGGAGACAGAGGUGAGCGGAACUUCCGGUGGAGCGGUGAAAUGCGUAGAGACCCGGAGGAACACCAGUGGCGAAGGCGGCUUCCUGGUCUGCGACUGACGCUGUGGCGCGAAAGCUAGGGGAGCAAACGGG
RNAcentral lists this ribosomal RNA (253 nucleotides) under uncultured bacterium. RNAcentral describes it as "partial 16S ribosomal RNA". It matches the Rfam family "Bacterial small subunit ribosomal RNA", at positions 524 to 776 of the family's 1533-position model. The record is from RNAcentral.